RNAcentral lists this long non-coding RNA (807 nucleotides) under Coturnix japonica (Japanese quail). RNAcentral describes it as "lncRNA (ENSCJPG00005019717.1)". Lineage: Eukaryota; Metazoa; Chordata; Aves; Galliformes; Phasianidae. The record is from RNAcentral.
CUUCAUGUAUUUAAAAAUAGUUUCCUGCUAAUUCAAGAUGCUUGUGUACUAUGUGUGUGAAGAGCACUUCAGUUAUAAUGAAGGGAUGGCAGAUUAAGGAGUUAUUUUCAAUGGGUGUAUAUACAUACAUAUAUAUAUAUAUAUUUUUUUUUUUUUUUUAAGAGAGACCUUCAUUUUGGCAGUACGAGUGAGUGAAUAUUCCUGUAGCAAUAGCUUGAUGUGCAAGACAGCAGGUGGUCAGCCAAUAAUCUUCUGAUACCUUGUGAGUAGAAAACCUUUGGUUUUGUCUUCAAGGCAUAGAGAUACCAGUACUUUCACUUCUUUUCUUCCCCCAGCCUAGUAAGCCGCUCACUGCUGGGCCAUAUAUAAGCUUUUCUGCUUUAAUUUCAAGAAUACAGUUUAUUAAUAAUUCUUUCCCACGCUAAUAAAAUCUACCUUGUAAAAUGGAUGGAAUGCAUUAGAGAAGCCAAAGUGCUCUGGAGCUGCCAUCUGCCUUGAAUAGUGCUAGCAUGAGGCUGAUGGUGGUCUGAUGGAAACCUGUCAGCUCCAUCAGUAUCUCAAGUAGUUACCUAAGAGAGCUAAUAUAUGUUCAUUAUUUAUCUGCAGAUUUAUGUGCUGAAGAAGAUUAAUCCUACAUUUAUUUCUGCAUGCAUCCUGCCCUUUAACUCCCAAGGCUUUCUGUUGCCCAAAAAGGACCACAUGUGUAUUGCAUAUGCAGACUUCCUUCUCUUACUCAGAUUUGGGGCUCUGAAUUUGGAACAGUUUUUGGUUAUAUGCUUCCUGAAACUUGGAGAAUACCUGCAAUAA